Molecule: long non-coding RNA, 626 nt
Organism: Lytechinus variegatus (green sea urchin)
Lineage: Eukaryota; Metazoa; Echinodermata; Echinoidea; Temnopleuroida; Toxopneustidae
Exons: 3
Source: RefSeq, a predicted model, not a curated record
UUUUCACGAAGUGACGGAUAAGAGGAAAAUUUUCACUUUUUUCAAUUUUGAGUUUUUUGCAUUUUUGGACAUCUAUGACUUAUAUCUUGAACCUCAAAAAGUUUCAGAUCACAAUAAUGUCUAAUUACGUUGCUAUGACGACAUGACAUUCAAUAAAAUACCGGGUAAAAGGAUUUCUUGUUUUCACGAAGUGACGGAUAAGCAGCCGUCAUUACGUGAAAACAAACGAAUACGCUUUGCACUCAAGAGUUUUUUCACGAAGUGACGGAAGGCAAAUAUUUACAGUUUGGAACAGCCGAAGACCAUGAAAUAAUGCAGUAUAUACAAUAAGUGAUGUUUCAGAGAACAAAUGAGAGAAGUCCUGGAACUGGUACACUUGUUGCUGAUGGUCAGAUACAAUUCCAGGUUAGAUCCAGGGGCCGACACGCUUGUCAGAUGUGUCAUUGAUGAUUCCCUGAACAUCGCAGAUAUGAUCUGAUUUGGUGACAUGACAGUGGAAUUGGUAGUGACUGGAUUUUUAGUGUGCCCUGGUUUUGAACUAUUGAAGUAACCAAACUAGAAACAUCUUUUGAGAACUCUGACUGCAAUUCUAAUGAUGAAACUCUGUCUACACUUGUGAAAAUGUG